AGCAGCCGCGGUAAUUCCAGCUCCAAUAGCGUAUAUUAAAGUUGUUGCAGUUAAAAAGCUCGUAGUUGAAUUUCGGGGUUAGUAGGUUGGUCAUGCCUCUGGUAUGUACUGGUCUCACUGAUUCCUCCUUCCUGAUGAGCCGUAAUGCCAUUAAUUUGGUGUCUUGGGGAAUCAGGACUGUUACUUUGAAAAAUUAGAGUGUUUAAAGCAGGCUCGCGCUCGAAUACAUUAGCAUGGAAUAAUGAAAUAGGACGUUUGAUCCUAUUUUGUUGGUUUCUAGGAUUGACGUAAUGAUUAAUAGGGAUAGUUGGGGGCAUUAGUAUUCAAUUGUCAGAGGUGAAAUUCUUGGAUUUAUUGAAGACUAACUACUGCGAAAGCAUUUGCCAAGGAUGUUUUCAUUAAUCAAGAACGAAAGUUAGGGGAUCGAAGACGAUCAGAUACCGUCGUAGUCUUAACCAUAAACUAUGCCGACUAGGGAUCGGAUGAUGUUAAUUUUUAAUGACCCAUUCG
RNAcentral lists this ribosomal RNA (510 nucleotides) under uncultured Glomus. Its description in RNAcentral is "SSU rRNA". It matches the Rfam family "Eukaryotic small subunit ribosomal RNA", at positions 569 to 1082 of the family's 1831-position model. The record is from RNAcentral. Lineage: Eukaryota; Fungi; Glomeromycota; Glomeromycetes; Glomerales; Glomeraceae.